GUAGCAAUAUUAGCGGUGUUUAGCGGCGAACGGGUGCGUAACACGUAGCUAUCUACCUCGAAGUGGGGGAUAUCUCCGAGAAAUCGGAGUUAUACCGCAUGUGGUUGUAAGACUAAAGCGGGGGACCGUAAGGCCUCGCGCUUCGAGAUGAGGCUGCGGCCUAUCAGCUAGUUGGUGAGGUAAUGGCCCACCAAGGCGAUGACGGGUAGCUGGUCUGAGAGGACGACCAGCCACACUGGAACUGAGACACGGUCCAGACACCUACGGGUGGCAGCAGUCGAGAAUCUUGGACAAUGGGCGAAAGCCUGAUCGAGCGACGCCGCGUGCAGGAUGAAGUGCUUCGGUAUGUAAACUGCUUUUGUAGACUAGAAAGUUUAUUGAUCGGUCUAAGAAUAAGAGGUUGCUAAACUCGUGCCAGCAGCAGCGGUAAUACGAGUGCCUCGAGCGUUAUCCGGAAUCAUUGGGCGUAAAGGGUGUGCAGGCGGUCUGAUUAGUCUUCUGUUAAAUUCUUCGGCUUAACCGGGGACAUGCAGGGGAAACGGUCAGACUAGAGGAUGCGAGAGGUUAACGGAACUCAUAGUGUAGCGGUGAAAUGCGUUGAUAUUAUGGGGAACACCAAAUGCGAAGGCAGUUAACUGGAGCACUCCUGACGCUGAAACACGAAAGCGUGGGUAGCGAAUGGGAUUAGAUACCCCAGUAGUCCACGCCCUAAACGAUCUUCUCUAGGUUUUCGGAGUAUCGACCCUCUGAGAGCCACAGCUAACGCGUUAAGAGAAGCGCCUGGGUAGUACGACCGCAAGGUUAAAACUCAAAGGAAUAGACGGGGACUUGCACAAGCGGAGGAUCAUGUGGUUUAAUUCGAUGACAAACGAAGAACCUUACCAGGGUUAGAAAUCUAGUUGAAGACAUUUGGAAACUUUUGUCGUCCGCAGGACAAUUAGACAGGUGAUGCAUGGCCGUCGUCAGUUCGUGGUUUGAAUU
RNAcentral lists this ribosomal RNA (981 nucleotides) under uncultured bacterium. RNAcentral describes it as "bacterial SSU rRNA". It matches the Rfam family "Bacterial small subunit ribosomal RNA", at positions 76 to 1073 of the family's 1533-position model. The record is from RNAcentral.